Molecule: ribosomal RNA, 116 nt
Filed under: Jeotgalibacillus sp. S-D1
Lineage: Bacteria; Bacillati; Bacillota; Bacilli; Caryophanales; Caryophanaceae
Source: RNAcentral
UCUAGUAAUGAUAGCGAAGAGGUCACACCCGUUCCCAUGCCGAACACGGAAGUUAAGCUCUUCAGCGCCGAUGGUAGUUGGGGGUCUCCCCCUGUGAGAGUAGGACGUUGCUAGAC